GCUUUUGCCUGAACUGUGGUGGUUUUGCCUUGCAGAAACUUUUCAGUUACAUGAGGCUCAAUUUAUUGAUUUUUGAUCUUGUGCCUGUGCUAUCAGCAUGUUGCUCAAAAAAUUGCUUCGUGUGCCAGGUUAGGAGAGACAAAAAUGGAAGAUUUUAAAAUUUGCUCUGUGAUACAAGGCAAUUCCACUGAAUAACUGCCUCCCAAGUGCUGGAAUUACAGUGUUCAGGGACUCGAGAAGAUAGCAUUCAAUUCUCUGGGGAUGGAGUUACAGGCAAUUGUGAGCAGGUAUGUGGAUGCUGGGAAUCAAGCUCAUGUCUUCUGGAACAGUAGCCAGCACCCUUUUAGCCAACUCCCUAGAAUCGAUUUUGUGGUUAUUUUUAACAUGAGGCAAUAUUUUUUAUAUAAACUGUGUAGUGACCCGCUUCAUUAGCAAUGGCUAGUAUAGGACUUCGUAAGACAUAAACACCUUCUGUCUUUAGAUAAUUCCAAUUUGGGUAAGUGGCUGAAGACUGGAGGCUUCAGAUGGGUUGAACAGCAUAGGGUUGCUGCAGACUGAUCUUGGCUCAUUUAUAGCUAUGCAACGUUGAAAAACAGUUUAGCUUUCUGAAGCUCAUUUUUCCUCAGUAAUAUAGCAAGAUCAUUAUGCCUGACAAUAUUUUUCUCUGAACAGUCGCUGUAAUAAAGUACCACGAUCUGACUGGUUAAUAGCGGCUGUGCUUUACUUUCUCACUGUUCUAGACACUUGAAGUCCAACAUUAAGUUGCUGGCAAAACCUUGACCCUUGUGAAGUCUACAGCUUUGCCUUUUUUUGGUGGUAGGGGGGCACGGGGACAGGGGAUGUUAGCUUUUCGUACUCAUAAACUUGCAAUUAAGUCCAACCUCUGCCUUUGUUUUCACAAAGCACUCUAUUUACAGACCCAGUGCUUACAAUGGCUCCAGCCUUAUUAGACAGAGGCACAACCUGCUCAGUAUGCUUUUAUGUUUACAUCACUAGACACAUCUGCAAUGAUCUCAGAUCCAAAUAACAUAAUCAUGUCAUGAAGUACAAAACACUAGUUAGAGUAUAGAUACACACACACACACACACACACACACACUGAAGUAGCGAGAGGAGAAAGAGAGAUUCCUUCUAUACCAUGAAAAACCUUUGUGUGGAGAACCAAUUCAUCUGAGGGAAAGGGUUGGCACUUGGCUAUCAGUGGGUCCCAGCAGCAGCAGCUCUGAUACAGGACAUGGCUUGAGUGAUGGAUGUCUAUAGAAGGAUCGUUCAUUUUAAUUGUAACUUUUUUGCUUUUGGCUAUGCUUACCUCCUACCAGAUUUCCAAUUCCCUUAACAUUUAAGAUUGCCAAAUCAGGCCAUCUGUAAACAUGAAAAGUUGCAAAACUGGGGUCUUUCACCGAAGUGCUAGUUUUAAUAUUCUGAACAGGAAAAAAAAAGACACUAAUUCUCUGUUCCUGAAAGCAUCAUAGUUUGUAAUGAGUAUAUACUGUCUUUCUCCCUUUGUAGUUCUGGGGUUUGGUGAUACAGGUGAAUUUUUGAUGACAUCUUUUUUUUUUCUCUCCUUCUGUUUUUUUUUCCUGUUGAGCGUUUGCCUUGGCAACCAUUGUGUAGAAGCCAAGCAGAGCCUUGCCUGAGCCAGAAAGGUUAAAACUGAGCCGACAGGACAACCCCAGCUCUCUGCUGUUGCACUGCUCUGAGACAGAAUGUUGUACAUGGUGCUGUUGUCUCAAAAGGACUGAUUCCAUAGCCAAGGGGGAAAGAUGCCAGCAGAGUAUGGAACACCUGUUGAGGAUACCCAGAGAAGCAGGGAAAGAAGAAACUUGGGGAUCCUUCAAAAACUAUUGUGGAUAAAGAGAGAAGUUGCCCCCACUCCUUGUUCUUUUUUUUUCUUUCUUUUCUUUCUGAGCGUUCGGUGUCACUGAUAUUGUAGUACUUCCAGAUGUGUAUUGGAUACAUAAAUGACACAGAUGUUGAAACAGAACAACUACCUGUCUAGCACAAAGCAUGGUAUAGACUGGCAGCUAAUUUACAUAUAAGGUAUCUCCAACCAUGAACUAAUCGAAGGUAGUCAGAAACUUGUGGACAUCUGGGUAUAACAAAAACACAUCACAAGAACCAGGCCCAUGAACUUUUGUAUGCAUAAGGCCAAGGCUGUCCUUACCUGGAAGGAAGAACACUUUGUAUGCUGACACCUGCUCAUCAGCACUCAUCUAGUGCACACCUCUGCUGAUCAACAAGCUCCUAGCUCCUGAUUCCAUUUCAACAUGAUUUCUGCUGAAUCAUCACUCAUCUGUCGCCAUUGACUCUGCUGAUCCUAUCUUCUUGCCUUGCCUUGCCUUGCCAUGCCUGCUAUGCUUUGCCUUGAACCUGAUUUCCAUCUUCCAACAACUUGGGACUAGCUUGAUAAU
Long non-coding RNA from Mus musculus (house mouse), 2411 nucleotides. RefSeq annotates it as predicted gene, 32632. The record is from RefSeq and is a predicted model, not a curated record. Lineage: Eukaryota; Metazoa; Chordata; Mammalia; Rodentia; Muridae. The transcript has 6 exons.